AGGGACUACGGGGGUAUCUAAUCCUGUUUGCUCCCCACGCUUUCGUGCAUGAGCGUCAGUAUUGGCCCAGGGGGCUGCCUUCGCCAUCGGUGUUCCUCCACAUCUCUACGCAUUUCACUGCUACACGUGGAAUUCCACCCCCCUCUGCCAUACUCUAGCCUUGCAGUCACAAGCGCCAUUCCCAGGUUAAGCCCGGGGAUUUCACGCCUGUCUUACAAAACCGCCUGCGCACGCUUUACGCCCAGUAAUUCCGAUUAACGCUCGCACCCUACGUAUUACCGCGGCUGCUGACAC
Molecule: unclassified non-coding RNA, 294 nt
Filed under: uncultured Gammaproteobacteria bacterium
Lineage: Bacteria; Pseudomonadati; Pseudomonadota; Gammaproteobacteria
Description: contains 16S-23S intergenic spacer region
Source: RNAcentral